This is a non-coding RNA of Dipodomys ordii (Ord's kangaroo rat), 65 nucleotides long. The record is from Rfam. Lineage: Eukaryota; Metazoa; Chordata; Mammalia; Rodentia; Heteromyidae.
GGUGGCUCAGUGGUAGAGUGCUUGCCUGGCAUGCAUGAGGCCCUGAGUAGGAUUCCUCAGCACCA